RNAcentral lists this ribosomal RNA (406 nucleotides) under uncultured bacterium. RNAcentral describes it as "partial 16S ribosomal RNA". It matches the Rfam family "Bacterial small subunit ribosomal RNA", at positions 30 to 526 of the family's 1533-position model. The record is from RNAcentral.
AUUGAACGCUGGCGGCAGGCCUAACACAUGCAAGUCGAGCGGAGCGGCGGACGGGUGAGUAAUGCCUAGGAAUCUGCCUUGUCGUGGGGGAUAACGUCCGGAUACGGGCGCUAAUAUCGCAUACUAUCAGAUGAGCCUAGGUCGGAUGAGGUAGUUGGUGGGUAAAGGCCUUCCAGGGCGACGAUCCGAAACUGGUCUGAGAGGAUGAUCAGUCACACUGGAACGUGGACAGGGUCCCGGCUCCUACGGGAGGGAGCAGUGGGGAAUAUUAGACAAUGGGCGAAAGCCUUAUCCAGCCAGGCCGCGUGUGUGAAGAAGGUCUUCGGAGUGUAAAGCACGUUAAGUUGGGAGGCGGUACCAACAGAAUAAGCACCGGCUAACUACGUGCCAGCAGCCGCGGUAAUAC